AUAAUUAUUUAUUUUUUUUUUAAGAAAAAAAAAAACAACCAUCCCCCACCCCACCUGGGCACCAGCAGCCCCUCCCCUGCCAGCGGCUAGGCCCCUCACCAUCGACCGCACUAACACCAUGAAACCGACCCCCCCUCAUACCGACAAACCCCAAACACUUAGGCAAAGGGUUUUAACUCCGCUUUCUCACACUCUCUCCCUCAAAAAACCCCUGCAAUAAAAAACCUUCGAAACCCUAGCAAUGGAGUGAAUCUCCUACCAGCGUUUCCUCCAAAUCAAUAUCCGAGAAAUGCGAGACGAUCAUGAAAUUCGAGCUCUAGAAAACCGAUUCAAGCGUCGCUAAUGUUCUUCGCCGCGUAAUGAUCGCCGAAGUGCCAACCAUCGCCAUCGAUCUCGUUAAAAUCGAUGUCAAUUCCUCCGUUCUCAACGACGAGUUCAUCGCUCAUCGUCUCGGCCUCAUCGCUGUCAUCAGCGAGUGUGUGAUGGCAACGCGCUUCUCCCACGACUGCGACGCAUGCGAUGGUGACAACUAGACCUGUCCAAUGGGGUUAGGGGCCCAUUUAAAGCCAUGACCCAACCCUUUUAUAAAAGGGUUUUAUCCAUCGAAUAUUUAAAUGGGGCAGGCUUUUAAAGGGUUAUUAAUAAUGGGCUUUUAAAGGGUUGGGUCUAAGUUAAAAAUGACUGAAAUUGGGUAACUCUUAUGAGGCUUUUUUUAUCCUAAUUUUUUUGUUCCUAAAACUUCCUAACAUCAAAUUAUAAUAUCUUGAAAAUAAAAAUUCCCAAUUUUCCCCAAAUUAUGAACCCUAAAAAAUUCCCAAUUUCCCCCAAAAAUAAAAAAUUAAACGUUUUCUCUCUCUUCUUAUUCACCAGCAAAAAUGUAUGAACCCUAAAUUUUUUUUCCUACUCGAGUUCUACUCGAAUCGCUAUUUGAAUUCUUCGCUCUGAUUCUCAAAAAUUGCUACUCUAAUUCUUCGCUCCAAAUAGACGUUCAGAUUUCACACAUUGUUGCUCCAAAUCAUUGCUCGAAGUCGGUCAAAUCGCUAGUUGUUCAAGUAUCGACUUUGUUUUUUUUAAUCAUGGAAAGUGAAGCAACUACAACAUCAAUGCCGGUAGAUGAUGAGGUUGAUGAAUCUAAUGCCGCCCGUAAGCGUAAAAGGAGUAGGAAAUCUAAAGUUUGGCAAGAAAUGACGGAAGGAAAGAAUGCAAAAGGUGUUGCCUUUGAUUACAUUGAUGAUGCGUUUUCCAAGCUCAAUGGUUGGCUGCUUCAACCCAAAUAUAUGAUCGUGAUAAUGGCUCUGUAAAUCCUGUUUCGAUUACUGCCUUAAGUGGUCGAUAAUUGCUAUUUUGUGCGGGAAGUUGUGUAUGCUGUGAUUAGUCUCUAGUGAGUCACUUGACUGUAACAAAUUUGCGUGUCUAAUUUGUGUCAAGAACAUUGCUUAGUUACUUGAUUGUAACAAAUUUGUGACAAGAACAUUGCUCAGCUCUCUACUUUUAACUUGUUGGCUAAGGCCCUUUAUAAGGCUCCUUAAAGGCCCUUUAUAAUUCUCUUA
Chenopodium quinoa (quinoa) is the source of this 1550-nucleotide long non-coding RNA. RefSeq lists it as uncharacterized. The transcript has 3 exons. NCBI's taxonomy places the organism in Eukaryota, Viridiplantae, Streptophyta, Magnoliopsida, Caryophyllales, Amaranthaceae. The record is from RefSeq and is a predicted model, not a curated record.